AGCAUUUAGCAAUUUCCUGCACUUAUUUCCUGCCAUUGAACACAUCACCAAUACAUGACUCCAACCACAUGACUUUGCUCAGCCAAUCGGAUGGCAUGUAGGUCAUAGUAAGCCUGUCCCGGCUUCCUCCCGUCAGAUGCGUGGAGGCAAGCCAGGUGACAGAGCUGUUGCAGACGCUGAUUACUGUGAGCCAGAGCCAUAGUGUUGUUGUGCACUGAACAGAACGGAAUUGGCCAGGUGAACCUU
Long non-coding RNA from Oreochromis aureus, 246 nucleotides. RefSeq lists it as uncharacterized. The transcript has 3 exons. Lineage: Eukaryota; Metazoa; Chordata; Actinopteri; Cichliformes; Cichlidae. The record is from RefSeq and is a predicted model, not a curated record.